UUUCCACAUUGCUUCUUAUGGCAUUGAAAGCUUCUUCAAAGGCUUCCUCUUCCUCAUACUUGUACAUGCAAGCACUGAAAUCAGCAAGUACAUUUGGUCCUUCCUCGUCUUUUUUCUUAUGAGGUACAAUUCCUGAAUCAUCCGCUGUUUCAAUUUCAAAUGCUUGCAAGGCCGAAAUUUUCCUCUGUGAUGGCAUCAAGUGGCUUGCCCCAGAAGGAAGACAAAAUGGAGAUAAUCUGCAUCGCCUACAGAUCAGCUUGCCUUGGUUUCACUUUGAACAUGGGGGACGAUCAAAAGAGAGAUAAGGCAAAAGGGAGUUUUUUUUGAAGGGAGGCAAAAGGGAGUUUAUCUCGCCACCUAAAGACCACAGAUGAACGUACCUCCGCCGUGUGUCGUGGUUCUAAGUCUGACAGUAGAGUGGGGGGUAGGUAUUGAGAGGCAAGGUCUUAGCUAUGGAGAGGUUGUAAACACAAGAGAUGUACGAGUUCAGGCCCUUCUCGGAGGAAGUAAAAG
Triticum dicoccoides is the source of this 513-nucleotide long non-coding RNA. RefSeq lists it as uncharacterized. NCBI's taxonomy places the organism in Eukaryota, Viridiplantae, Streptophyta, Magnoliopsida, Poales, Poaceae. The transcript has 3 exons. The record is from RefSeq and is a predicted model, not a curated record.